Molecule: ribosomal RNA, 429 nt
Filed under: Bacillota bacterium
Lineage: Bacteria; Bacillati; Bacillota
Description: Firmicutes bacterium partial 16S ribosomal RNA
Rfam family: Bacterial small subunit ribosomal RNA
Source: RNAcentral
UAGGGAAUCUUCGGCAAUGGACGGAAGUCUGACCGAGCAACGCCGCGUGAGUGAAGAAGGUUUUCGGAUCGUAAAGCUCUGUUGUUAGAGAAGAACGUUGGUAGGAGUGGAAAAUCUACCAAGUGACGGUAACUAACCAGAAAGGGACGGCUAACUACGUGCCAGCAGCCGCGGUAAUACGUAGGUCCCGAGCGUUGUACGGAUUUAUUGGGCAUAAAGCGAGCGCAGGCGGUUCUUUAAGUCUGAAGUUAAAGGCAGUGGCUUAACCAUUGUACGCUUUGGAAACUGGAGGACUUGAGUGGAGAAGGGGAGAGUGGAAUUCCAUGUGUAGCGGUGAAAUGCGUGGAUAUAAGGAGGAACACCGAUGGCGAAAGCGGCUCUCAGGUCUGUAACUGACGCUGAGGCUCGAAAGCGUGGGGAGCAAACAGG